GUGAAUCAUCAAAUUUUUGAACGCAAAUUGCGCCUUUUUCGGAAGGCAUGUCUGUUUGAGGGCACCAUUUAACAAAUAAUGUGCAGCGUUUUUUGUUGCACACGUUGAUGAGCUUUCCAAGAAUUCUAAAUUUUUGGUGGCGCAUAAUGAACAGCGUGAAAGUUUUUUUAAUUUGAGUUUAAUUAAAUUCUUUCUUUGGUUGUUGAAAAAAAUAAAU
Molecule: unclassified non-coding RNA, 217 nt
Filed under: Paraglomerales sp.
Lineage: Eukaryota; Fungi; Glomeromycota; Glomeromycetes; Paraglomerales
Description: partial contains 5.8S ribosomal RNA and internal transcribed spacer 2
Rfam family: 5.8S ribosomal RNA (bases 1-65)
Source: RNAcentral